Molecule: non-coding RNA, 82 nt
Filed under: Brugia malayi
Lineage: Eukaryota; Metazoa; Nematoda; Chromadorea; Rhabditida; Onchocercidae
Source: RNAcentral
CAGUAAACUGGAUGGAUCCGGAUCUGAUCCAGUUAGUAAAUUAUAACAAACCGGAUGGAUCCGGAUCUGAUCCGGUUAGUAA